GCCUUGAUAGCUCAGUAGGUAGAGCAGGUGAUUGAAAAUCAUUGUGUCGGCAGUUCAAUUCUGCCUCAAGGCACCA
This 76-nucleotide transfer RNA is filed under the name Vibrio chagasii. RNAcentral's name for it is "tRNA-Phe". It matches the Rfam family "tRNA". Rfam says of the family: Transfer RNA (tRNA) molecules are approximately 80 nucleotides in length. Their secondary structure includes four short double-helical elements and three loops (D, anti-codon, and T loops). The record is from RNAcentral. Lineage: Bacteria; Pseudomonadati; Pseudomonadota; Gammaproteobacteria; Vibrionales; Vibrionaceae.